UUUAAAACCUAUGCUGUCUCCUAGCAGGGUGCGGCUAGCAGAGUUCUAUAUACUCUGAUCAUCUUUAUACUGCACUGGUUACUGAAUCUUUUGGAGUGGCUGGAGCCUGAGGACAAGGACACAAGCAGCAGAACAGAUGCAAGAGAAAAGCAGGUGACGCCACAACCUGAUCAGCAUGCUGUUGUUUCAGGAGGGAAGUAUGGCAUUCAUCUGUGGUCGGAACCUGGUGGGCCUCAUCCCAGCUCAAACUGUCAUGACAAUACUGGCCCAAAGCAGAUGCCUGGUAAAUCCUCAACUGUUACAAGCAUCCAUCUCAGCUGUUCACCUACAUACAAAACGAUGUAUAGAGUUGGGAGGCAGCUGCCCAAACUAUCAAGCAUGAACCAUCAGUUGCCCAGAAGACAGGCUCCUCAAGACCACCGUCAAGUGAAACGAGCCCAGACUAAUGUGUUGAGGGAGAUGGCUACAAGUGUUUUAUCUCCAGUUAAACCAUUCUCUGCUCCUUACCAGCAAUUUCCACCCCUCCCACCGAGAAGGCUGUAUGUGAAACCAUCAUCACUGCAUCCAAUCAAUGUCAGUCUAUUAUGAGCCCCCCAUGCUGAAGCAAUGGAACCUCCUCCAAGAAGGGUAAAAGGAAGAAAUCAUGACAGGGAAUCAUCACAUGUUUCCCCAGAAUCUGCCUUCUGCAACAUAUGGAGAAGAGAGCAGCACAUCACCCACCAUUGUGAUGCUGCCACUACUAGCAUGGAAUUAUUUUUUGUAUUUAGUUUUUUAAUUUAUUUAGUUGAAUAAAGU
Molecule: long non-coding RNA, 795 nt
Organism: Alligator mississippiensis (American alligator)
Lineage: Eukaryota; Metazoa; Chordata; Crocodylia; Alligatoridae
Exons: 6
Source: RefSeq, a predicted model, not a curated record